UACGUAGGGUGCGAGCGUUAAUCGGAAUUACUGGGCGUAAAGCGUGCGCAGGCGGUUUUGUAAGCCAGAUGUGAAAUCCCCGGGCUUAACCUGGGAAUGGCAUUUGGGACUGCAAGGCUUGAGUGCGGCAGAGGAGACUGGAAUUCCUGGUGUAGCAGUGAAAUGCGCAGAUAUCGGGAGGAACACCAAUGGCGAAGGCAGCUCGCUGGGACGU
Molecule: ribosomal RNA, 214 nt
Filed under: uncultured bacterium
Lineage: Bacteria
Description: partial 16S ribosomal RNA
Rfam family: Bacterial small subunit ribosomal RNA
Source: RNAcentral